GGCUUAACACAUGCAAGUCGAGGGCAGCGGAAGUCAGCUGCUGACUUGCCGGCGACCGGCGCACGGGUGAGUAACGCGUAUCCAACCUUCCCCUUAGUAGGGCAUAGCCCGUAGAAAUGCGGAUUAAUACCCUAUGUUUUCCGAUGAGGACAUCUGAGCUGGAACAAAGGUUUACCGCUAAGGGAUGGGGAUGCGUCUGAUUAGGCAGCAGGCGGGGUAACGGCCCACCUGGCCGACGAUCAGUAGGGGUUCUGAGAGGAAGGUCCCCCACAUUGGAACUGAGACACGGUCCAAACUCCUACGGGAGGCAGCAGUGAGGAAUAUUGGUCAAUGGGCGCGAGCCUGAACCAGCCAAGUAGCGUGCAGGAUGACGGCCCUAUGGGUUGUAAACUGCUUUUAUGCGGGGAUAAAGUCACCCACGUGUGGGUGUUUGUAGGUACCGCAUGAAUAAGGACCGGCUAAUUCCGUGCCAGCCGCUGC
RNAcentral lists this ribosomal RNA (480 nucleotides) under uncultured bacterium. RNAcentral's name for it is "bacterial SSU rRNA". It matches the Rfam family "Bacterial small subunit ribosomal RNA", at positions 45 to 518 of the family's 1533-position model. The record is from RNAcentral.